RNAcentral lists this transfer RNA (124 nucleotides) under Chloroflexota bacterium. RNAcentral's name for it is "tRNA-OTHER". It matches the Rfam family "tRNA". Rfam says of the family: Transfer RNA (tRNA) molecules are approximately 80 nucleotides in length. Their secondary structure includes four short double-helical elements and three loops (D, anti-codon, and T loops). Further hydrogen bonds mediate the characteristic L-shaped molecular structure. tRNAs have two regions of fundamental functional importance: the anti-codon, which is responsible for specific mRNA codon recognition, and the 3' end, to which the tRNAs corresponding amino acid is attached (by aminoacyl-tRNA synthetases). tRNAs cope with the degeneracy of the genetic code in two manners: having more than one tRNA (with a specific anti-codon) for a particular amino acid; and 'wobble' base-pairing, i.e. permitting non-standard base-pairing at the 3rd anti-codon position. The record is from RNAcentral. Lineage: Bacteria; Bacillati; Chloroflexota.
GGGGACGUAGCUCAAUGGCAGAGCAGCAUAAAAACCCGUCAGCCAAUAUUCGCCUCAAGGGGCCGCGGGGUGAUGGUUAUCGCUAGUAACGAGCAGGUUGUGGGUUCAAGUCCCACCGUCUCCA